GAAAUGCGAUACGCAAUGCGAAUUGCAGAAUUCCGCGAGUCAUCAGAUCUUUGAACGCAGCCGGCGCUGGCGGGAUAUCCCACCAGCAUGUUUGUUUCAGUGUGUUUGGUUGACUUCACACAACUCAAUGCGAUUGAGGCCUUUUUAAUUAAGGGUCUCUCUCGUGAAAGAGGAGUACUUGCGGCUGAGCCCGCCAACGAAGUGGUCACUGUUCACCAGUGAUUUCGUUGGAAUCACAGGUUCAGCCUUUAACAUGCGAGUUCUUUUUUAACCACAAAUCUUCAAUCAGCACCUGAAAUCAAGCAAGAUCACCCGCUGAACUUAA
RNAcentral lists this unclassified non-coding RNA (325 nucleotides) under uncultured fungus. RNAcentral's name for it is "sequence contains ITS1". The stretch from base 1 to 105 matches the Rfam family "5.8S ribosomal RNA", at positions 50 to 154 of the family's 154-position model. The record is from RNAcentral. Lineage: Eukaryota; Fungi.